ACGGGAGGCAGCAGUGGGGGAUAUUAGACAAUGGGGGAAACCCUGAUCUAGCAACGCCGCGUGAAGGAUGAAGGUCUUCGGAUUGUAAACUUCUUUGACGAGGGAAGAUAAUGACGGUACCUCGAAAACAAGCCACGGCUAACUACGUGCCAGCAGCCGCGGUAAUACGUAGGUGGCGAGCGUUGUCCGGAUUUACUGGGUGUAAAGGGCGUGUAGGCGGGAUCGUAAGUCAGAUGUGAAAUGCAGAGGCUUAACCUCUGAGCUGCAUUUGAAACUGCGAUUCUUGAGUGAUGGAGAGGUAAGCGGAAUUCCCAGUGUAGCGGUAAAAUGCGUAGAUAUUGGGAGGAACACCAGUGGCGAAGGCGGCUUACUGGACAUUAACUGACGCUGAGGCGCGAAAGUGUGGGGAGCAAACAGGAUUAGAUACCCUGGUA
RNAcentral lists this ribosomal RNA (434 nucleotides) under uncultured Clostridium sp. RNAcentral's name for it is "partial 16S ribosomal RNA". It matches the Rfam family "Bacterial small subunit ribosomal RNA", at positions 341 to 792 of the family's 1533-position model. The record is from RNAcentral. Lineage: Bacteria; Bacillati; Bacillota; Clostridia; Eubacteriales; Clostridiaceae.